ACCUACUUAACUCAGUGGUAGAGUAACGCCAUGGUAAGGCGUAAGUCAUCGGUUCAAAUCCAAGAAA
RNAcentral lists this transfer RNA (67 nucleotides) under Cyrilla racemiflora. RNAcentral describes it as "transfer RNA-Met". The stretch from base 7 to 65 matches the Rfam family "tRNA", at positions 7 to 64 of the family's 71-position model. Rfam says of the family: Transfer RNA (tRNA) molecules are approximately 80 nucleotides in length. Their secondary structure includes four short double-helical elements and three loops (D, anti-codon, and T loops). Further hydrogen bonds mediate the characteristic L-shaped molecular structure. tRNAs have two regions of fundamental functional importance: the anti-codon, which is responsible for specific mRNA codon recognition, and the 3' end, to which the tRNAs corresponding amino acid is attached (by aminoacyl-tRNA synthetases). tRNAs cope with the degeneracy of the genetic code in two manners: having more than one tRNA (with a specific anti-codon) for a particular amino acid; and 'wobble' base-pairing, i.e. permitting non-standard base-pairing at the 3rd anti-codon position. The record is from RNAcentral. Lineage: Eukaryota; Viridiplantae; Streptophyta; Magnoliopsida; Ericales; Cyrillaceae.